AGAGUUGAUCCUGGCUCAGGAUGAACGCUAGCUACAGGCUUAACACAUGCAAGUCGAGGGGCAGCAUUGGAGUAGCAAUACUCAGAUGGCGACCGGCGCACGGGUGAGUAACACGUAUCCAACCUGCCGCUUACUCGGGGAUAGCCUUUCGAAAGAAAGAUUAAUACCCGAUGGUAUAAAGAGUUCGCAUGUUCUCUUUAUUAAAGAAUUUCGGUAAGCGAUGGGGAUGCGUUCCAUUAGAUAGUUGGCGGGGUAACGGCCCACCAAGUCUACGAUGGAUAGGGGUUCUGAGAGGAAGGUCCCCCACAUUGGAACUGAGACACGGUCCAAACUCCUACGGGAGGCAGCAGUGAGGAAUAUUGGUCAAUGGACGAGAGUCUGAACCAGCCAAGUAGCGUGAAGGAUGACUGCCCUAUGGGUUGUAACUUUCUUUUAUAAGGGAAUAAAGUGAGGGACGUGUCCCUUUUUGUAUGUACCUUAUGAAUAAGGAUCGGCUAACUCCGUGCCAGCAGCUGC
RNAcentral lists this ribosomal RNA (516 nucleotides) under uncultured bacterium. RNAcentral's name for it is "bacterial SSU rRNA". It matches the Rfam family "Bacterial small subunit ribosomal RNA", at positions 8 to 518 of the family's 1533-position model. The record is from RNAcentral.